UACAGAGGGUGCUAGCGUUGUUCGGAAUCAUUGGGCGUAAAGGGCGUGUAGGCGGUUUGUUAAGUCAUGUGUGAAAUCCCUCGGCUCAACCGGGGAACGACGCAUGAAACUGGCAAGCUAGAGUACCAAAGAGGGGGGUGGAAUUCCCGGUGUAGCGGUGAAAUGCGCAGAUAUCGGGAGGAACACCGGUGGCGAAGGCGGUUCUCUGGGCCUGACCUGACGCUGAGGAGCGAAAGCGUGGGGAGCGAACAGG
Molecule: ribosomal RNA, 253 nt
Filed under: uncultured bacterium
Lineage: Bacteria
Description: partial 16S ribosomal RNA
Rfam family: Bacterial small subunit ribosomal RNA
Source: RNAcentral